Molecule: long non-coding RNA, 212 nt
Filed under: Spirodela polyrhiza (greater duckweed)
Lineage: Eukaryota; Viridiplantae; Streptophyta; Magnoliopsida; Alismatales; Araceae
Description: long non-coding RNA (SPOL_LNC000885)
Source: RNAcentral
UCUCUCUACCGAUAUGAAGUGAUACGACGCUUCUGAGCGAAAGACAGAAAGUUUGAGACCAAGAGAGAGAGAGAGGAAGCGUGGUAGAAAGAGAACCAGAAAGAGAGGCUUUAAGGGAAACAAUGAAAACACAAAGUCGAACCCUCCCCAGUUCUCCCAUUUGCAUGCCUUCGUUUGGACUUGUAUCCACCAAUUUUUCGCUCCCCGGGCCG